Long non-coding RNA from Apis dorsata (giant honeybee), 1225 nucleotides. RefSeq lists it as uncharacterized. The transcript has 2 exons. The record is from RefSeq and is a predicted model, not a curated record. Lineage: Eukaryota; Metazoa; Arthropoda; Insecta; Hymenoptera; Apidae.
UUAUUUACUUAUUUUAUUUAUUUAUUUAUUUCAUUGUUGUAUGUCAUAUAAUAUUUUUGUGUCGUAUAUUGCAAUUAUCAUAAAUCAAAUUUGAAAAUAGGCUUUAAAUUAUUAUAACAAUAUAUCUUAGAUAAUAAUUGAAGCGCUCCCUGGAAUCAAUAGAGCUGAAAACUCUCGCAACAAUUUUCACGAACUUUUAUCGAAAUUUACGCCUGUAUAUGUAGGGGACCGUUUCAAUUACGAUAUCAUCGCUAUAUAUAUAUAUAUUGAACACUUGUUGAAAUCCCCCCGUUAAGAAAGAUUUUCAAAUGUUCAAUUAAAAUGAACAUUUCUUAUACGUAUUAUCGAGUGUUCAUCUAAUAGAAUACUUAAUACAUCAUACUAGUUUCAGCCGAAACAGCAGAUGACGUUUACUAUUUACCUUCCAUUUCCUAUAGUUACGUUAUGCGUAAUAAUAACCAUAAUAUAAUGAUAAACAUUAUUACCACCACAGAGCAUUAAUAGUGUUAUAAUAGCACUGUUGCUAGGGACGCAUGAAGAUAUAUUUAUGUGACGGCGGCCCCACUACCUGUUUAAUGCAAUGAACGAUACUCAUUCAUCCGAGUAAGAUUCAUUAUACACAUACAUAAUAUUCAGUGUAGUAUCAUUACAUUAUAUAUUAACUCGUAUCAGCAUAUUUUUCUUCAUAUUGUUUUUUUUUUAUUCUUCUCCUAUGUUCUUCUUUUGUAUUUAAAGAAGAUCUUAAUUGAACGAUUUCGAGACAUCCGUUGAUUUUGUUUUGGCCAAGAAUAUUCAAGGAAAUGGCAAUGAGAAGAUACAAUUGGAUAAACGAGAAGCACACCUAAAAGGAAAUGAUAUAGUAUAGUAAUAAAGAAAUGUAAUGAUAUAGUGGGAAUUAGUGAUAAGAUGGUGAUAGUAAGAAAGGGAAAGAAAAGGAAAAUUAUGUUCAUGAUAUUCUGAAAUUGGAAACAAUUUUCCAAAUCUUUCGUUUCUUCUUCAUUUUUUUUCUUUUGAGAUCAAAGUAUAUAUUAUCCAAUCAAAAACAAAAAUAACUCUUUUUGAUACGACAAUAAUAAUAUUAUUAUUGUUAUUAUUAUGUAUUAUUUAAUCAAUAUAACAUUAUUUAGCUAUCCCUGUGGUAAAUCGAAGCUUUUAUUUUCGCACGCAGGACAAUUGAAACAAAGCUUUUUAAUUUGAUACACGAAAUUCAAGGAACAGAAAAAAG